GAUGAACGCUGGCGGCGUGCCUAAUACAUGCAAGUCGAGCGAACGGACGAGAAGCUUGCUUCUCUGAUGUUAGCGGCGGACGGGUGAGUACCACGUGGAUAACCUACCUAUAAGACUGGGAUAACUUCGGGCACCCGGAGCUCAUACCGGCUGAUAUUUUGAACCGCAUGGUUCAAAAGUUAAAGACGGUCUUGCUGUCACUUAUAGAUGGAUCCGCUCUGCAUUAGCUAGUUGGUAAGGUAACGGCUUACCAAGGCAACGAUGCGUAGCCGACCUGAGAGGGCGAUCGGCCACACUGGAACUGAGACACGGUCCAGACUCCUACGGGAGGCAGCAGUAGGGAAUCUUCCGCAAUGGGCGAAAGCCUGAUGGAGCAAUGCCGCGUGAGUGAUGAAGGUCUUCGGAUCGUAAAACUCUGUUAUUAGGGAAGAACAGAUGUGUAAGUAAAUGUGCACAUCUUGACGGUACCUAAUCAGUAAGCCCCGGCUAACUACGUG
RNAcentral lists this ribosomal RNA (497 nucleotides) under uncultured bacterium. Its description in RNAcentral is "partial 16S ribosomal RNA". It matches the Rfam family "Bacterial small subunit ribosomal RNA", at positions 28 to 507 of the family's 1533-position model. The record is from RNAcentral.